RNAcentral lists this ribosomal RNA (429 nucleotides) under Bacteroidota bacterium. Its description in RNAcentral is "Bacteroidetes bacterium partial 16S ribosomal RNA". It matches the Rfam family "Bacterial small subunit ribosomal RNA", at positions 355 to 776 of the family's 1533-position model. The record is from RNAcentral. Lineage: Bacteria; Pseudomonadati; Bacteroidota.
UAGGGAAUCUUCCGCAAUGGACGCAAGUCUGACGGAGCAACGCCGCGUGAGUGAAGAAGGAUUUCGGUUCGUAAAACUCUGUUGUUAGAGAAGAACAGCGCAUAGAGUAACUGUUAUGCGUGUGACGGUAUCUAACCAGAAAGCCACGGCUAACUACGUGCCAGCAGCCGCGGUAAUACGUAGGUGGCAAGCGUUGUCCGGAUUUAUUGGGCGUAAAGCGAGCGCAGGCGGUCAAUUAAGUCUGAUGUGAAAGCCCCCGGCUCAACCGGGGAGGGUCAAUGGAAACUGUUUAACUUGAGUGCAGAAGGGGAGAGUGGAAUUCCAUGUGUAGCCGUGAAAUGCGUAGAUAUAUGGAGGAACACCGGUGGCGAAAGCGGCUCUCUGGUCUGUAACUGACGCUGAGGCUCGAAAGCGUGGGGAGCGAACAGG